UCUCAAGAAAAGAAUUUAAGUCCAACCUAAAGUAACUCCUGAUUAUCAUAAAUCACCUCACCACUUUAGAGCAAUUCAAAUGAGGUACAGCCCAUUUGAUAUAGGAUACAACCUUAACUAACGGGUAACAUUAAAUCUACACCUCCAAGUAGGCCUAAGAGCAGCCACCCUUUAAAAAAGCGUCAAAGCUUAAUCAUGUUCACAUCAAUUUUUAAUCUUCAAUUGACCCCUUUUACCUUACUGAGAAUUUCUAUAUCAUAUAGAAUAUUUUAUGCUAAAACUAGUAACAAGAGUAAACCCUCUCCCAAUGCAAACACAAGCCAGCAAGAACCCAUCACUGGCAAUUAACAGACUUAAACAAAAGUAGCAACAUCUCUAGAAAACCCUACUCAUCCCAACUGUUAACCUUAUACCAGAGCAUUUCAGGAAAGAUUAAAAGAAAAAGAAGGAACUCGGCAAACACUAAUCCCGCCUGUUUACCAAAAACAUCGCCUCUUGCCCCCAUAAGAGGUCAAGCCUGCCCAGUGACUUUGUUCAACGGCCGCGGUAUCCUAACCGUGCAAAGGUAGCGUAAUCACUUGUUUUCUAAAUAAAGACCAGUAUGAAAGGCAUCACGAGGAUUAAACUGUCUCCUUUUUCCAAUCAGUGAAACUAAUCUCCCCGUGAAGAAGCGGGGAUUAUCCUAUAAG
RNAcentral lists this ribosomal RNA (689 nucleotides) under Pristimantis tinguichaca. RNAcentral describes it as "partial 16S ribosomal RNA". The stretch from base 430 to 676 matches the Rfam family "Archaeal large subunit ribosomal RNA", at positions 1787 to 2143 of the family's 2987-position model. Lineage: Eukaryota; Metazoa; Chordata; Amphibia; Anura; Strabomantidae. The record is from RNAcentral.